UUCCGAUGGCCAACGCAUCAGAGUGAGAAUUACGUUGAUUUAUAUCGGCUACAUAAUUACUCACUAAGAGAUCAUUUUAUUUUAAUUCUUUCUGCUCACAAAUUAACGGAGUGGCUAUCAUUUUUAUUUCAAAAGUAUUCGAAUGGUUUUGCUAAAUUGAUGUCAUGUUAUCUCUGAUCAUAUGCCCAAGCAUUCCAAAGUUUUUCAGUCAUAAUUUUUUCUUGAAAAGUAAAUUUUCCGUUCAUAGCAAUUAUGUGUCUGCGAGUAAUGGGAUUUGCCCCCAUUUGCAUAAAGAUUGCUCUUGUAUCGGUUUUGGCCGUUAUCGGAUGUUUGGAGGUAACAGGUUUGAUCGUCUACUUCACUGUAUUCCAUGAAUCUGAGACGACAAAGGAUGAUACCACCACUCAACUACCACUAAUAUAACCACUACGACAGACUGCGCAACAUGGUCUGUUUUGUGAUUAAGAUGGUUAGUCAUUCUAUGUAGGAGCUUGGCCGAAAGCUCCUGCGCCUCUAAAAACGGAAGUCAGGCGAAGAACCAAAUAAAUUGAUUCUUGAGCAAUCGAUUCGAUAUCGGCAAAGAUAUCCCAUGAAUCAGCCCCUAUAUCGAAUCGGUUGCUCAAAAAAAAGUAUAGUGUCAA
This is a long non-coding RNA of Drosophila ficusphila, 641 nucleotides long. RefSeq lists it as uncharacterized. NCBI's taxonomy places the organism in Eukaryota, Metazoa, Arthropoda, Insecta, Diptera, Drosophilidae. The transcript is spliced from 2 exons. The record is from RefSeq and is a predicted model, not a curated record.